UACGGGGGGGGCAAGCGUUGUUCGGAAUUACUGGGCGUAAAGGGCUCGUAGGUGGCCAACUAAGUCAGACGUGAAAUCCCCAGGCUUAACCUGGGAACUGCGUCUGAUACUGGAUGGCUAGAGUUUGGGAGAGGGAUGCGGAAUUCCAGGUGUAGCGGUGAAAUGCGUAGAUAUCUGGAGGAACACCGGUGGUGUAGACGGCUUACUGGACCACGACUGACACUGAGGCACGAAAGCGUGGGUAGCAAACAGG
Molecule: ribosomal RNA, 253 nt
Filed under: uncultured bacterium
Lineage: Bacteria
Description: partial 16S ribosomal RNA
Rfam family: Bacterial small subunit ribosomal RNA
Source: RNAcentral